UGUGUGUGUGUGUGUGUGUGUGUGUGUGUGUGUGUGUGUACGUACACACACACACACACACACACUGCAACAAAGCACUCACC
Podarcis lilfordi (Lilford's wall lizard) is the source of this 83-nucleotide non-coding RNA. Lineage: Eukaryota; Metazoa; Chordata; Lepidosauria; Squamata; Lacertidae. The record is from the annotation of a GenBank genome assembly.